RNAcentral lists this unclassified non-coding RNA (298 nucleotides) under plant metagenome. RNAcentral describes it as "partial contains 5.8S ribosomal RNA, internal transcribed spacer 2, and large subunit ribosomal RNA". The stretch from base 1 to 105 matches the Rfam family "5.8S ribosomal RNA", at positions 50 to 154 of the family's 154-position model. The record is from RNAcentral.
GAAAUGCGAUAAGUAAUGUGAAUUGCAGAAUUCAGUGAAUCAUCGAAUCUUUGAACGCACAUUGCGCCCCCUGGUAUUCCGGGGGGCAUGCCUGUUCGAGCGUCAUUUCACCACUCAAGCCUCGCUAGGUAUUGGGCAACGCGGUCCGCCGCGUGCCUCAAAUCGACCGGCUGGGUCUUCUGUCCCCUAAGCGUUGUGGAAACUAUUCGCUAAAGGGUGUUCGGGAGGCUACGCCGUAAAACAACCCCAUUUCUAAGGUUGACCUCGGAUCAGGUAGGGAUACCCGCUGAACUUAAGC